UGGAACAUCAAUCUUCAAGAACAUUUAAACCCUACCUGGGUUUUAUUUUCAUUAACCCAAAAGGCUCAAAGCAAUGGACCAACUGAUGGUCAUCUACAUCAGUGGAUCUCAACCUUCCUAAUGUUUCAACCCUUUAACCCAGUUCCUUACAUUGUGGUGACCCCCAAUCGUAGUUUCAGUGCGGCAGAGGAAACAAUUCACAGGAUGAAGAGACAAGCAGAGAAUGUGAGAAACAUUUGUCAUCUGUUCUUCUGUCAAAAGAUUAAUAUCCAGAAUUCACGAGAAACUCAACAAAAAUCAACUUCCCCAAUUAAAAUUUGAGUGAAUGGC
Molecule: long non-coding RNA, 330 nt
Filed under: Cricetulus griseus (Chinese hamster)
Lineage: Eukaryota; Metazoa; Chordata; Mammalia; Rodentia; Cricetidae
Description: lncRNA (ENSCGRG00015035151.1)
Source: RNAcentral